This 150-nucleotide unclassified non-coding RNA is filed under the name uncultured Venturiaceae. Its description in RNAcentral is "sequence contains ITS2". The record is from RNAcentral. Lineage: Eukaryota; Fungi; Ascomycota; Dothideomycetes; Venturiales; Venturiaceae.
CGACCCUCAAGCACAGCUUGGUGUUGGGCACGGUCCCGCAGGACCCGCCCGCAACUCGUAGGCGGCCGCCGCCCGCGCCCCCAGCGUAGCAAGCUCACGCGUUCGCUCGGGGACGGCGCGUCUGGCCCGCCAGACUAAUUUUUUCAAGGU